Anopheles darlingi is the source of this 46-nucleotide non-coding RNA. Lineage: Eukaryota; Metazoa; Arthropoda; Insecta; Diptera; Culicidae. The record is from Rfam.
CAAACCGCCCUUUUUAGGGCGACCGAAUCCAUUUUAGAAAGAGUUU